Molecule: ribosomal RNA, 253 nt
Filed under: uncultured bacterium
Lineage: Bacteria
Description: partial 16S ribosomal RNA
Rfam family: Bacterial small subunit ribosomal RNA
Source: RNAcentral
UACGUAGGGGGCAAGCGUUGUCCGGAUUUAUUGGGCGUAAAGAGCGUGUAGGCGGCCAGAUAGGUCCGUUGUGAAACCUGGAGGCUUAACCUCCAGCGGUCGAUGGAAACCCUCUGGCUAGAGUCCGGAAGAGGAGAGUGGAAUUCCCGGUGUAGCGGUGAAAUGCGCAGAUAUCGGGAAGAACACCCGUGGCGAAGGCGGCUCUCUGGAACGGUACUGACGCUGAGACGCGAAAGCGUGGGGAGCGAACAGG